Molecule: ribosomal RNA, 137 nt
Filed under: Escherichia coli
Lineage: Bacteria; Pseudomonadati; Pseudomonadota; Gammaproteobacteria; Enterobacterales; Enterobacteriaceae
Description: partial 16S ribosomal RNA
Rfam family: Bacterial small subunit ribosomal RNA
Source: RNAcentral
AAAUUGAAGAGUUUGAUCAUGGCUCAGAUUGAACGCUGGCGGCAGGCCUAACACAUGCAAGUCGAACGGUAACAGGAAACAGCUUGCUGUUUCGCUGACGAGUGGCGGACGGGUGAGUAAUGUCUGGGAAACUGCCC